AUGGUGGCUCUUAAGUUGGAUUUUCAAAAGGCCUUUGACAUGGUCAGCUGGCCUUGCCUCUUCAACAUUCUUACUGCUGGAGGCUUUCCUCAACACUGGAUGAGUUGGCUAGAAUCCCUACUAUCUACGGCAACUUCCAGAGUUAUGUUGAAUGGGGAAUUGGGGGACUUCUUCACCACUAGGAGAGGUUUCUGA
RNAcentral lists this ribosomal RNA (195 nucleotides) under Triticum aestivum (bread wheat). RNAcentral's name for it is "partial small subunit ribosomal RNA". Lineage: Eukaryota; Viridiplantae; Streptophyta; Magnoliopsida; Poales; Poaceae. The record is from RNAcentral.